This 459-nucleotide ribosomal RNA is filed under the name uncultured bacterium. RNAcentral's name for it is "partial 16S ribosomal RNA". It matches the Rfam family "Bacterial small subunit ribosomal RNA", at positions 338 to 795 of the family's 1533-position model. The record is from RNAcentral.
CCUACGGGAGGCAGCAGUGAGGAAUAUUGGUCAAUGGGCGGGAGCCUGAACCAGCCAAGUCGCGUGAGGGACGACGGUCCUAUGGAUUGUAAACCUCUUUUGUCGGGGAACAAAGGCGCCCACGGGUGGGCGGAUGAGUGUACCCGAAGCAAAAGCAUCGGCUAACUCCGGACCAGCAGCCGCGGUACUACGGGGGAUGCGAGCGUUAUCCGGAUUUCUUGGGUUUAAGGGGUGCGUAGCGGGACAGUCAAGUCAGCGGGAAAAAUGCGGUACUCAACUCCGUACAGCCGUUGAAACUGGCAGUCUUGAGUGUGCGAGAGGUAUGCGGAAUGCGUGGUGUAGCGGUGAAAUGCAUAGAGAUCACGCAGAACACCGAUUGCGAAGGCAGCAUACCGGCGCCCGACUGACGCUGAGGCACGAAAGCGUGGGUAUCGAACAGGAUUAGAUACCCCUGUAGUC